GAGGAAGUAAAAGUCAUAACAAGGUUUCCGUAGGUGAACCUGCGGAAGGAUCAUUAGAGUGCCGAUAAGGCUAUCCAAACACCUGUGCACAUCGGACCGCGCCUCCCUCCCGGGGGGCUCGGCCGCCUUCACACAAACGCAUGUCACGAACGUAAUGCAUAAUAACAUGAAACAACUUUCAACAACGGAUCUCUUGGCUCUCGCAUCGAUGAAGAACGCAGCGAAACGCGAUAUGUAAUGUGAAUUGCAGAAUUCAGUGAAUCAUCGAAUCUUUGAACGCACCUUGCGCCUUUUGGUAUUCCGAAAGGCAUGCCUGUUUGAGUGUCAUGUAGACUCAACCCCCCGGGUUUCUGACCCGGCGGAGUUGGAUUUGGGCCCUGCCUUACCCGGCUGGCCUUAAAUGCGUUAGUGGUUUCACGCAGGACGUCGUAAGUUACGCGUCGACUGUGGGCCGCUCACAACCCCUCUUUUUUGCACUCUGGCCUCAGAUAGGUAGGGCUACCCGCUGAACUUAAGCAUAU
This 521-nucleotide ribosomal RNA is filed under the name Tremella yokohamensis. RNAcentral describes it as "eukaryotic LSU rRNA". The stretch from base 174 to 327 matches the Rfam family "5.8S ribosomal RNA". Lineage: Eukaryota; Fungi; Basidiomycota; Tremellomycetes; Tremellales; Tremellaceae. The record is from RNAcentral.